Molecule: long non-coding RNA, 5731 nt
Filed under: Lactuca sativa (garden lettuce)
Lineage: Eukaryota; Viridiplantae; Streptophyta; Magnoliopsida; Asterales; Asteraceae
Description: long non-coding RNA (LSAT_LNC004517)
Source: RNAcentral
CAAUUUCUCCUCUUCUUUCUCCCAUUUUGCAUCGGUUUGCGUGCCAGAAAUACCCCGAAGCCCCGGUAUUGUUCUCAAGCCCCGAAGCAAGUCCCGAGAUCCCGAAGAUCCCGAGAAGUGCGGUUCCCGAGCCGAAGCUCUGCCCGCGAGAAGUUCGAUUUUUGAAGAGAUCUUCCAGAUCUGCUGAGGAUUACUACUUCUGCAAGUCGUAGUGCUGUCCGAUCAUCUUCUGAUCAAGUGAGUGUAUACUACCUUUCAUAAACACAAUAAUAAUACGAGUUUGGUUUGAGUGUAUUAAGAGUAUUGUUGUUUAUAAGUGUGAGGGUGUAGUUAUUUUUCUUCUAACGCAUAAUUAUUAAGUAUUUUCGUUGAAAUACGUGCUACGUGGAUAAUAUAAAGUUGUUUAUAUGGAUGGAUGUAUAGUCCCUUUCAUAAACACGGGUAUAAUACAAGUAUUGUUUGAAUGUAUUAAGUGUACGUUUGGCAGAGUGUAUGGUUACUUUCUUCUAACACAUAAAUAUGAAGUAUUUGGUAUAAAAUACGUGCUAUGUGUUUAUAUAUUGUUGUUUAUUUGAGAUGAGUAUGGCAUGAAUGUUUUAUAUAGUUUUAAAAUGAGAUAAACUGUAUGUGUAUUCUAGAUCUACAAAUAUGUUGGGUAGAACAUGGGUAGAUGAGAUAGUUGGUAUGUGAUGAAAUGAUGAGGUAUGAAAGAUGAUUAAGAAUGAUAUUGGUAGAUGCACCAAUUAAAGAAUGUCAUAAGACUAGCAGAUGUGCUGUAGAAUAAUAUCGGUAGAUGCACCAAGUAGUGAAUGUCGUAAUCCUAGCAGAUGCGCUUAUAGGAUAAUGUCGGCAGAUGCGCCAAAUAGAGAUUGUCAUAAUAAAAGCAGAUGCGCUUAUAGAGUGAUCCUAGCAGAUGCGCUUAUAGGAUAUUGUUGGCAGAUGCGCCAAAUAAAGAUUGUCAUAAUAAUAGCGGAUGCGCUUAUAGGGUAAUCUUGGCAGAUGCGCUUAUAAGAUAAUGUCGGCGGAUGCGCCUAAAAGAGAAUGUCAUAAACCUGGCAAUCGCGCCUCAUAGUGUAUGACGUAAUCCUGGCAGAGGCGCUUAAAGGAUAAUGUUGGCAGAUGCGCCUUAUGUAGCAAUGGAAGUUUGUGUAAAUCCCUUAGGUCAAUCCUUAGGAAUGAAGGAAUGACGAGUAGUUGAAUUCCUAGGGUAAAAUCCUAAGAAACAUAAUAGGGAUGAAUAAUUGAGUUGAUUGUUUGAUGGUUGAAUAUAAUAAUUGUAUUAUUGUGGGUUGAAAACCCUAUAUGCUCACCAGGCUCCCAAGCCUGACCCACUCAGUUUUCUUUGCAUUACAGGUAAUGGCACAAGAGUAUAAGUUGGUGGACUUGACGAGAGAUUUUGGAUUAUAGGCCAGUAGUUAUGAAUAACUGUUGUAAGGUCUAUUUAUUAUUGUUUAUGCUUUUGGUCUGUAUCGGAACAUGACAUCCCGAGGUUUUAUUAUUUAAUGAAAAUACAUUCUCUUUGAGAAACGUUUUGAUAAAUGGUUAUCAUAUUUUAUUUUGGGAACAAAUUCCGCAACCGUUUUCUUUAAACGAUCACUCUGAUUUAUAAAACAAAGCAUAAACAAAUCGGUCUUUUCUGGCCGUGAAAAUGGGGAUGUCACAGUUGGUAUCAGAGCAUUAGUUUAAGCGAACUAGGAAUUUGUAGGAAAUUUCUAGACUUAAACUUAGAAUGCUAAGUAAUGAUUGUGAGGAGUGUGUCUAAAAUAUGUUAGGUAGUACACCUAAAUUGACACAAGCACUAGUUCAUUUUAGGAAUGAUGCCUAAAAUGCUUUUAUGUGCUAAAUGUUUUGUGUGAUAGCUAAAUUGAUGCUAUUAUUUGUUCGGAUCUAUGGUCUGUUGCCGACCGGAUCUGGAAACCUUAUGUGUUUAGGAUUCUAAGCGUACGUCUACGAUAUUAGAACUAGCAUGUAAACGUUUCGGAGUGAUAAGGGCGAUGUGAAUAUCUAUCGUGAUUGAGGAUAUAAUUUCACCUUAUUUGGUGUGUAGAUCAAAAAUGGUGAGAACAAGAAGUGGAGUUGGAAAUGCUGAUGAAAACAGGAAUCAACCACCAGUGAUUGAGCAAAUACCUGUCGUAGCAGCAGCACCUGAGCCAAUAACCAUGGCUGGUGUGCAAAUGAUGAUUCAGACGAUGUUGGAUCGUCAGAUGGAUGAAACUAGACGGUUGCUUCAGCAGAAUCGUGAAGAACUGUCAAUUCGAGUGGAAGAGCCUGAAUUAAAUGAAGGGCACUCGGAAGGUGGAAACUUCAGUGGGUCUGUUGGUCAAGCCAACCCACCGAUAGUUAGGCAAAACAACCAGAAUGGAAGGAACGAUGGAAUGGGAUGCAAGUAUAAGGAUUUUCUGACUUGCAAACCAUCGACCUUCACUGGAAAGGAAGAUCCGAUCGGAGUUAUGGAUUGGAUAUCGGAAAUGGAGCUAGCCUUCAUGACUUGUGGCUGCAGAGGCAAGUUGCAGACUACCUAUGCAGUGCGUCAGUUCAGGGGUGGGGCUGUUCGUUGGUGGAACACUUUGGGGAAGAUCCUAAGUCCUAAUGAGCCACUGCAACUGACCUGGGCAGAGUUCUUGGUGCAAUUCAAGCGCAAGUUCUGCUCUGCUCAAAAUCUAUUGGAGUUGGAGAAUAAGUUUCUGAUAUUGAAGAAAGGCAGCAUGUCAGUGGAUGAAUACACUAAUGCUUUCACAGACAAGAUGGAGUUUGCUUUACGCAUCGUUCCAGACGAACUGACAAAAGUCGAUCGGUAUGCCAAGGGACUCCCUUGGGAGUAUGCGGUGCCAGUGCGUCAGGCACCUACUCUAGAGGCAGCUAUUUGGGCUGCCAAGUCUGUUGAGAAUAUGAUCAAGGGGAGGACUGACAGUAAGGUUGAAGUUGGUGAGAAGAGAAAGUUAGAAGGAACUUCAGGUUCUAAUGAGAAAAGAAAAUCCUCGAAGUCUGGAGGAGGAGGAAGGGAUGAGGCACGGUGGUGCGAUAAGUGCAAGAAGAAGCACUCAGGAAAAUGUGGCGUGGAAGUGACAUGUUUCAAGUGUGGAAAGCAUGGGCAUUACGCCGAUGAAUGUAUUUUCAACAAAAAGGUGUGUUACGAAUGUAACGAAGAGGGGCACUUCAAGCAAGACUGCCCAAGGAAAAAUCAAACAGCAAGGCUAGAGGCGCCGCCAAAGCUAAAGGCAAGAGCAUUUCAAAUGAUCCUUGAUGAAGCAGAUGGCAAUGCAAGGAAUCAGGAAUAAGGAUCUUAUAUCUAAAGAUCAAGUUAUAAAGUAGCGAUAUGAAAAGUAACAUGUGGUGUAGCCUAUUAGAGGCAUAGUAUAGGGUGAACUUGAACUUUUGUGUAACCGUUUCAAGGAAUUAAUAUAAACCCUAGUUUUGUUAACUGAUGUGUUGAAUGAUUGUCUGAUUUUCUUGCAUGGUGACUUGGUCGACUACGAGGCAAUACUUGGGACGAGUAUGAGUAGGUGUGAAAGGUAGUAGAUGCAUAUACUACCGGAAGCACAGGACUCGCACUUGGAUCAGGGAAAGUCGCAAGGUUACCAAGAAACUAGUGAUUGAUUCCAUUUUAUUCUGGUAUGUCAUUACCAUUGUUUCGGUGAUGACUAGUAAGAUGGUUCUUGUUCCGACCCUAGUGGUCAUGUUUAAUUUGAGUUCGACGGCGAGGAGUAUGUACGUGGUCUAGAGGACCGAGUUAGAUGUAACAUCUGACUUAAGUCAGAAGGUUGAAGUUAAUGCGAUUGAUAGUGUCGCUCUCGUUGUUAAAAGAAGUUUGUAGGCAGAAAUGCUACAUGCUGAAAUGUGAUUAUAUCGCAUUAGAAUAUGAAGGAAGGUAUAUUCCAUUCUGGAAUUUAACUUUAUUAAAGACCGAGUCUAAGCGUCGCAUCGUGCGAUGAGAGGUCGAUAGAGCACGACCCAUCGGUUUGUUACAUUGGAUAAAGGAAUAUAUUUAUCCUAAGAAGAAGAAAGAGUUCGCAAUAAGGACUUAUUUUGUAACUCGAAGGUUAUGAUUGAAAGUCCAAGAUAGUACGAAGAGCAGAUGCAGGAUUGAGCAUCAAGGUUAUUACUUAGAAUGGAAAGAUAACUUAUGGAGUCAGUAUGCGAAUCCUAUUUCGUUGAUGAUUCCGGGACGUAAUCAUCCUAAGGGGGAGAUAAUUGUAACGCCCGUAGAUCAGGGCUAGUCAAUUUAGAAACAAUAAGCGUCAAAAAUGACUUUUUGAUGGAAGAUUAUCUAGAAGGAUUAAUCUUAACCAAGUUGUAGUAUAUGUCACAAGGUUUCCGUGCAUAUAAAGAACGCCAAAAUCCGAGUUAUAACGAAGAAGUUAUGGCCCGUCGAAGUUUCGCGACAGAACCGGCACGACGCAAUGCAACGUAAAAAGUGAAUUUACGUUAGAGCGGUAUUUAGCCGAAGCAAUCUAAAUGAGAAUCGAAGAUCUCAUUGUUGGUAUCGAAGCGAUAAAAAGUUAGGCGAGAACGGACGUCAAACGAAGAAGUUAUGAAUUUAUAACGAAAGUUUAUGUCGCGGCCUAUUAAAAAUAAUUAAUAAAAAUAAAGUCAAAAUUAGCCGACGGAGUCUAAACGAAAGUUGUAGAGCGUAGUCUCACCUUCGCGUGGAUAUAAAGAACGUCGAAAACGGAGUUCGUAUGAAGAAGAUAUGAAUUUCCGAAGAUUAUUAAAUAAUUUGUAUUUAUUUUUAAUCUUUAAUUCGGAAGCAUUAUCCGAAGGAGUCACCGGUCUGAUCCGAGGUACGCGCCGCGUACUCGAGUACGCCCCGCGUACUCCGAAAGUGUCGACAUCGCAGCAAGUGGCUUCGGAUGACGAACGCAGUGACGUUUUUCGGACCAGUACGCCCCGCGUACUGGCGUACGCCCCGCGUACGUGCGAGGCUCAGCCUCUAUAAAAGGAAUCCGAAGGCAGCCGAUAGUUUUGCCAAUUUCUCCUCUUCUUUCUCCCAUUUUGCAUCGGUUUGCGUGCCAGAAAUACCCCGAAGCCCCGGUAUUGUUCUCAAGCCCCGAAGCAAGUCCCGAGAUCCCGAAGAUCCCGAGAAGUGCGGUUCCCGAGCCGAAGCUCUGCCCGCGAGAAGUUCGAUUUUUGAAGAGAUCUUCCAGAUCUGCUGAGGAUUACUACUUCUGCAAGUCGUAGUGCUGUCCGAUCAUCUUCUGAUCAAGUGAGUGUAUACUACCUUUCAUAAACACAAUAAUAAUACGAGUUUGGUUUGAGUGUAUUAAGAGUAUUGUUGUUUAUAAGUGUGAGUGUGUAGUUAUUUUCUUCUAACGCAUAAUUAUUAAGUAUUUUCGUUGAAAUACGUGCUACGUGGAUAAUAUAAAGUUGUUUAUAUGGAUGGAUGUAUAGUCCCUUUCAUAAACACGGGUAUAAUACAAGUAUUGUUUGAAUGUAUUAAGUGUACGUUUGGCAGAGUGUAUGGUUACUUUCUUCUAACACAUAAAUAUGAAGUAUUUGGUAUAAAAUACGUGCUAUGUGUUUAUAUAUUGUUGUUUAUUUGAGAUGAGUAUGGCAUGAAUGUUUUAUAUAGUUUUAAAAUGAGAUAAACUGUAUGUGUAUUCUAGAUCUACAAAUAUGUUGGGUAGAACAUGGGUAGAUGAGAUAGUUGGUAUGUGAUGAAAUGAUGAGGUAUGAAAGAUGAUUAAGAAUGAUAUUGGUAGAUGCACCAAUUAAAGAAUGUCAUAAGACUAGC